Molecule: ribosomal RNA, 253 nt
Filed under: uncultured bacterium
Lineage: Bacteria
Description: partial 16S ribosomal RNA
Rfam family: Bacterial small subunit ribosomal RNA
Source: RNAcentral
UACGUAGGGGGCAAGCGUUGUCCGGAAUCAUUGGGCGUAAAGCGCGUGUAGGCGGCUCGGUAAGUCUGCUGUGAAAGUCCAGGGCUCAACCCUGGAAUGCCGGUGGAAACUGUCGGGCUAGAGUCCGGAAGAGGCGAGUGGAAUUCCUGGUGUAGCGGUGAAAUGCGCAGAUAUCAGGAAGAACACCCGUGGCUGAGGCGGUUCUCUAGUACGGUACUGGCGCUGAGACGCGAAAGCGUGGGGAGCGAACAGG